RNAcentral lists this long non-coding RNA (6575 nucleotides) under Sus scrofa (pig). Its description in RNAcentral is "lncRNA (ENSSSCG00035024170.1)". Lineage: Eukaryota; Metazoa; Chordata; Mammalia; Artiodactyla; Suidae. The record is from RNAcentral.
UUUUUUUUUUUUUUUUUUUUUGUCUUUUUGCCUUUUCUAGGGCUGCUCCAGUGGCAUGUGGAGGUUCCCAGGCUAGGGGUCUAAUCAGAGCUGUAGCCGCCAGCCUACACCACAGCCACAGCAACGCCGGAUCGUUAACCCACUGAGCAAGGCCAGGGAUCGAACCCGCAACCUCAUGGUUCCUAGUCGGAUUCAUUAACCACUGCGCCACAACGGGAACUCCAAGUUGCUGCUCUCGUAAUUACAGAUGUCUCUUAACAACCUUGCGUUUGCAGUCCUCUCCCCAUGAUCACUAAUUUUGGCAGCCUAUUUUACAAAUGUUUUGUGUGUAUCCUUUUACUACUUAUUGAAGCCAUAGAUGACUUUAUCGCUUUUCUUGACUUUUAACCUUCCUACUAGUUUUGUACCUGGCUGGUUUACUACCUUUACUGUUUACUUGCCUUUACCAGUGAGCUUUUCCAUUUCAUAAUGUUCAUAUUUCUAGUUGUGGCCUUUUCUUUUUUGCUUAGAAAAGUCCCUUCAACAUUUCUUGUAAAGCUGGUUUGGUGAUGCUAAACUCUUUUAGCUUUUGCUUUGUCUGUAAAGCUUUUGGUUUCUCUAAGAUACCUGAAUGAAAAGCUUGCUAUAUAGAGUAUUUUGGGGUUUUAGGUUUUAGCUUUUCAUCACUUUCAUCACUUUAAAUAUAGCAUGCCACUCCAUUCUGGCCUGCAGAUUUUCAGCUGAAAAGUUAGCUGUUGGCCUUAUGGGAGUUCUUUGGUACGUGACUGGAAGCUUUUCCCCUGCUGCUUUUAGUAGUCUCUCUUUAUUUUUUGCCAUUUUAACUGCAGUGUCUUGGCGUAGUCCUCUUUGGACUGAUCCUUUUUGGGAUUCUCUCUGGCUCUUGGACCUAGAGGUCUGUUUCCUUUCCUAGGGUUAGGUAAGUUUUCAGCUGUCAGGUCUUCAAAUAUUCUCUGCCCUUUCUCUCUCCUCUUUCUGGGACCCCUGCAAUGCGGAUGUUCUUUUCCCGAGUUCUUUGAUCAUCUUCACUGGCAUCACCUUCAGCUCUCCGUAGGGUCGGUUUUGCCUGUCUCCCCUUCACUUAGUUUUUCUUCUGGGGUUUUAUCUUGUUUGUUUGGAACAUGUUCCUCUAUUGCCUAAUUUUUCCUAAUUUUCUUUCUUUCUUUGUUUCCUUUUCUAGGGCUGCACCCACGGCAUAUGGAGGUUCCCAGGCUAGGGGUCCAAUUGGAGCUGUAGCCACCGGCCUACACCACAGCCACAGCAAUGCCGGAUCCUUAACCCACUGAGCGAGGCCGGGGAUCCAACCGGCAAUCUCAUCGUUCCUAGUCGGAUUCGUUAACCACUGCGCCACGACAGGAACUCCUAUUUCUGUAUAUCUGAUAGCUUGGUUACAUGUCCCAACCUUGGAGAAAUAGCCUUUUGCAGAAAAUGUCCUAUGACGUCCCAGCACUGCAUUCCCCUCUGGUCACCAGGGCUGCAUGUUCCAGGGAUGUCCCCUACGUGGGCUGCAUGGGUUCUUCUGUUAUGGUGGGCUGACUACUUGGAGUGGUCUUGUAGGUCUGGCUGGCCCCAGAUCCAGUUGGUAUCCAACCUCUGCCUUGUGUGGAGGCUGCCAGCCACUGGUUGGUGUCUAGGUCACAAAGCAGCUGGCUGCAGAACCCUAGGGCUCCUGGAGCUAGUGCUGCUCACUGGUGGGCAGAGCCAGGUUCUGAGGUGGGUAGUUGUAGGGCCAGGGUUCCUGGAUCUCUUGUCACUCUCCUGAUGGGUAGGGCCAGUUCCAGACAUGACUGGCUGCAAGUUCUGGGGAGUCUCAAAGCUGGUACAGGCCCACUGGUGAGUGGGGCUGGUUUCCAGGGUGGCUUGCUGAGGAGUCCUUGGUGUCUCAGAAGUGGUGUUGGCAUGCAGGUGGGUGGGGCCCAGGCCUGGAGGGUCCAAGGCUGCUGGUGUGUUGACUGGGUCCUGACAAGGCAGGCUUCAGGGCUGCAGUGGUCCCGGAGCUGGUGACCACCUGUUAGCAGGUAGGUUUGGUGUCCAGGAGAUCCAAGGGAUAGUGCCAAGCUCCUGGUAGGCAAAGCCAGGUCCCGGGAUCUCUGGCUGCAGGACCCAGGGGUCCCAGAGCUUGUAUCAGUCUACUGCUGAGUGGGUCUGAAUCCCAGGGCAGCUGGCUGAGCGGCCAAGGUGUCUCAGAGCUGGUAUUGACCUGCUGGUGGGGGUGCUGGCCUGCCAGUAGGUAGGCUGCAUCCUUCUAUGGCAGGUUGUGGGUUGUUUGUCUUCAGGCUGGGGUCCUCCUCCCGGUAGGCACACCAGGACUCAGGGUUUCCUGAGCUAGUGCUUGCCCACUUAUCUAUGAAGCUGGUCCCGAGACUAGAUCCGACACACUUAUGGGAAGGCCCAGGGCCCAAGGGAUUCUGGUGGGUGGACCUGGGUCCCAGGAAUCUCUGGCUGCAGGGCCCUAGAAGUCCUAAGUCUAGUGCCUGUCCACUGGUGUGUGGGGCCAAGUCCUGGGCCUUCUGAUGGAGAGGGCCAUGUCCAGGGAUAGCUGUAGGCUCAGGGGGCCUUAAGGCAGCCUGUCCACUGAUGGGUGGAGCCGCGUCCCCGCCCAGCUAGUUGCUUGGCCUGAGGUGUCCCAGGACUGGCGCCGGCAGGCUGGCGGGUGGGGGCAGGUCCUGGCCUCAUGAGCGCAAGGGAGGAUUCCUAAAUGGCGCUCGCCAGCACCAGGGUCCACGUGGUAGAAGGAGCGGCCAAAACAGCUGCUGCCGUUGUGUGUGUCCCCAGGGUGAGCUCCAGUUGCCUCCUGCCUCCCCGGGAGACUCUCCAGGAUUAGCAGGUGGAUCUGACCCGGGCUCCUUUCAAACUGUGGCUUCUACCCUGGGUCUCAGAGUGUGUGCACCUUUUAAGGGCGGCGCUCCUAUUUCCCACAGCCCUCUGGGUCCCCCGAACAUAAGCACCUCUGGCCUUCAGAGAUCGAUCUGCUGGGGGCUCAUCUUCCCGUUGCGGGACCCCGGGCUGCAGAGCCUGGUGUGGGGCCCAGACACCUUGCUCCUUGGGGGGAACCUCUGCAAUUGCAAUCAUUCUCCCAUUUGUGAGUCGCCCCCUCCGGGCUGGGGAUGGGUCUUGCCUGUUCCGUGGCUCUGCCUCUCCUUCUCUUUAGUGCCGACCUCCUCUGCUGGAUUCCAGUCUUUCUCAUCCAUGGUUGAUCUGCUACUAGUUGGAACUUUGGGGUGCCCGUGGGAGGAGGUGAGCUCAGAGCUGUCCAUCGUCACCACCCUGGACCAGAAUCUCGGAAAAGGCCUCCUCCUCCGGGAAGCCCUCCCACCCCCACCCCAGCCCCGCGGACCGUCACCGUCGCCCAGGUUCCACCCCACGUCUUCUCCUCAGGGCUCUGUGCCCCUGCUGCUGCCUCUGAGGCACCUGGUGGCCGGGACACGGCAGGCAGGCAGGGUAGGUCUGUGCGGAAGGAAGGCUGGCGCGUCCAGAAACGCGCUCCCUGAGGACCCAGACCCGCCAGGCCCCGCGACCCCUGCAUCCAUUCGCACCAAAGGACCAGAGCAGGGACAGCUGUAGAGACAGAAAUUAGCUUCAUGGCUGCUGAGGGCUGGGGUGUUGGGUGGGGGUGACAGCUAACAGGUGGAGGGUUUCUUUUUGAGAUGAGACGAUCCCUGAAACGACUGGCGAUGGCAGCGCAGUCCGUCGCCACACCAAAACCAGGGAACUGCACACUAAACGGGUGGACGGCGGUCUGUUAAGCACGUCUCAAUAAAGCUGUGAAAAAAAUGUCUAACAGGCUUGUCUGGCUGACGGGCCGAAACGCGAUGUGUGUUUGCCGAGGAUACGCAGAACCCUGCAUAACAAGACCCGUGGUCUGGGUGUUGCAGCGACUUUUAGCCGCAUGGAAAGAGAAGUCUCUGGUCUCUAGCAUAAACCCAACCCAGAGGGGUCGGCCUCAGGCAGCCCCCCAUGCACGUUUAACUCUGAGCCCAGCCCCUCCCCCUUGGCUGGGUCCGCGCAGGAGAGGACUCACUCGCUCGGGUGUGUGUCCCUGCUUGCAGACUAGGAAACGCAGGCAGGCGCGAGGUCAGGCGACCGCCACCCUCGCUCAGCAAGACAAGUGGCAGCCAAGAAUAGCGCAGGGCUCCUGACUGCGCCUCCUUUGCCGUAAACAGCCAGCCUCGCCCCAACCCCCACCCCCAUCUGAGACCAUGGACGGACCCCACACACAGGAUUUUUAAAGGGACCAUCAAGCACGACCCCCGGGCAGUAACACUGAGACCUGUGUUGGGGCCAAGCCGAGGGAGGAACCAGCCCCGUCUCUGCAUUCCCGUUUGCAGAGACAAGUCGGGAGGGCCCGCUGGGUCGGGCCGGGCUGGCUCCUGCCAGGACCGAUGUCAGCUGUGCGGGUGGGCCUCUCUGGACACAGGCGCAGAGCCCGAGCUGGUCAUCAGAUGUGUUGUUUUGCAUUUAAUGAUUUCCGUCUUCUAGGGCCAGCGGGACCACUGACGACUCGUGUCAAGCCUCAUGCUCGGGGCCUUCUGUGCCCGUUAACGAAGGAACGGUUACGGAUGGUGUGGUAGAAGUGGGAUGUGGGAAAGCCAGGGACGAGGUAGCCAAAAAGGCAGUGACAGAGCCGGGUCAAAGGGCAGCUAUUCGGAACCAGCCCAGGUCUGCAGCUUCCCUGCCAAGCGACCUUCAGCAAGGCCCUGGCUCUUUCCGAGGGUCAGUUUCCUCAUCUGUGAAAAGGGGGAGCCGGCUGAUGUAUAGGGAGAGGCAAGGGCCAUGGCAGCACCAAAACGCUCCCUGUUCGGAUGCGUGUCAUCAGAGGAUUUCGCGGCGCUGAUGAGCUGACAGGUCGCUAGGGGACGGUGUGUGCGCAGUGGCCUGCGGCUGCCUACAACAUUCGCCCUAAUUGAGGGCCUGGCCCCCAGCCAGGUGGGAAACAGUUUCCAUGGGGCCGCUCAGGCCGGAUGGAUGAGGACCAAGAGGCAACUCUCAAGCCGGAGGUGAGAGAGGGCACCUGGGCCGUGGGAAGUGGCCAGCGGCCUGAGAGCCCUCGCCUUUCUGCAGUUGCCCGUAGGCUGCCUCCCUCUUGGACCCAAGUGGGUUUUCUCUAGGCCUCAGGGUUUGUCCAGCGCAGAGGUUGGGCUACACCCACAAGUGGCUUAAGAGGUAGAAGGCAGGCUGGGGGCGGGGGUGGGCCCAGGGCACCUGCUUCUCCAAGACAUCUUGGGGCAGGUGGGCUUGGCCCAGCCCGGACAGCCGGCUCCCCAGGCCUGGGCUCCUGGGGAGGACCCUGCAGCAGCUGCUAGAGCCUGGGCUCUGUGUCUCGUCCCAGUCUGGGGCUUCUAAAUUUAACCUGCCGUCAGCUAGAGGGGCUGGAGGGCUUCCACAGGGUGAUCAGAUGCCACUCGGAAUCCACUUUACUCAUGACCCCCUGCCCUCUGCACACAUUCCCCUCCAAGCACUACCCCCAAAUGCAGGCAGCCGUCCUCGCAUCCUUGCAUGUCUCCAGGGUAAAGAUUGAAGACCCGAGCCGCCCUGGAUCCUGAUCAGAUCCAGCUCACUUUCUUCCUGCCAUUGGCCAGGGUUGCACCCUGUUCUCUGUUCACACGCAGACGCACACACACAGACACACACCCACCAUGGUCCCAGGGGCAGAGCCCAGGAGCUGACUCCACAAUUGAAAGCCAAACCACGACAGAGCUGCACCACCCAUAAGCCAUCUGGGUGGAGGGCGGCCAGCCGAGCCCAUUACACAAUUUCCUGCUUUGGUGUCGCAGCCCCAGGAGACAGGAUGCAGAAUGCCGUUGGGUUGCUGCAAUGUGGGAAGCCCAGAGAAGAGACCAAACCUCCCAUGCCCAGAGUGGAUAAGGCCACCGCCUGCCCAGCAGAUGAGCCUACGACCUGCAGCUGCCUGGACAGCCCUUGAAAGGAAUGAGCAGGCCCCCCAUGGGCCACAGAGAGCUGAGAGCACAAAAACCUUCCUGUAGGCAGAGGAAGGCGUUUCCUGUGGGGGGAACCCAGGAUAGAGUGAGCCACAGGCAGGGGGCCGCCUCAUCAUUAGGCACCAUUAAUUACUGCGCCGGGAGUUCCCAUCAUGGCUCAGUGGAAAUGAGUCCGACUAGCAUUCAUGAGACCCCUGGCCUUGCUCAGUGGGUUAAGGAUCCAGCACUGCCAUGAGCUGUGGCGUAGGUCUCAGAUGUGGCUCCGAUCCUGCAUGGUGGUGGCGGAGGCGGAGGCUGGCAGCUACAGCUCUGAUUCGACCCCUAGCCUGGGAACUUCCACACGUGAGUGCGGCGCUAAAAAGACAAAAACAAUGCAAAAACACUACUGCACUGAAAGUGUGACCUUGCGACUGAGAGCACGUGGAGGGAAGGUUUGGGUCCCGGGGCGGCAGUUCCGAUCCUGUCUCUGCCUCUCCCCAGACGCAUGGCUUUGGGCGGCUUCUCCCCUCUGUGAAGCGGGGAUGAGGAAAACCCCUAAACCUCAGGAUUCAGCGAGUUAACACCCAGAAGAGUAGAAUAGCUGUGUUGUCGCUGCAUCAGCCAGGAGGCGGCUGCUCGGAGAACCAUCUUCCAUACAAG